RNAcentral lists this long non-coding RNA (247 nucleotides) under Ictidomys tridecemlineatus (thirteen-lined ground squirrel). RNAcentral describes it as "lncRNA (ENSSTOG00000030463.1)". The record is from RNAcentral. Lineage: Eukaryota; Metazoa; Chordata; Mammalia; Rodentia; Sciuridae.
UUAGCACAGCUGCUAUCACCACAUGUUCCAGGGAAGUAAGCUGUUAACUAUUAGCAUUGCUGUUUUCUGGAUUGAAAGAGUCUCCAGUGUCCAGUGGCUAAGGGCAGAAGCAGGGAACAGGACUGGAAAACACGGUCACCCAUGUGCACCACCCCAUCAUGCUCAGGUAAUAACAAGGAUACGCUGGGACGCUUGGAAACAACAUUCCCACACAGCUCUGUAUGCUGAUGUAGGAAAACUUCAGUAA